CGGGUGCACUGCACUUCAACUUUAAGCAGUAGUUAACUCUCGUUUCGCCACAGACAACGGUGAACGGAAAAUGAUUCAGGCGCUGGAUGAUGGAAUGCGUGUUUGGUGUUCACAGCUCCGGAGGAGAGGCGCAAAUCACAUUUCUGCAGCCGUAGUCAAAAACCAUCCAGUCAGCGGCAGCCAAUGUGCCUCGACGCCACACAAUGAGACGGCUUUCAGCUGUGAAUAUCAACGUCCUCCGGGUGCUUUCAAGGACACAGCAGGGCCUUUUGGCUCAUUCGCUCCGAACCAGGAGGCUCCAGCUGCAUUUGUCUGGCGCUCCGAGUCGCCCGCUUUCUUAUCAAACCUUUGUUUUUUUUCUUCCAGACAGAAUUGAUCUGAUAACCGGCUGGAAUGGGGACCAUUGAAAUAUGACAGCUGAGUUAUCAGACAGGGUUUUUUAACAAAACCUUGCAGACUGCCAAAGGCUAUGGAACUCUUGACACAUGGAACAAUGCAAACAGGAUGAGGGACUUUUGGUUCUAACACAUCUUUUCAGACAUAAUCUCUGUGGAUGUGAAGAAGAAAAGGUUACAGUAACUGAAAGACAUACGAGAUACCAGACGUUAGGGAUGGCAAACUGGAGAUCCCUACAAUCUCCACUGAGUUACAGGCAGCAUCGAGGUUAGUGUGGGCGCUGAGCUGUGGAGAGGCACGACGGGCCACGACAGAGACACUUCAGUGCAGGCAGGGAGAGGACUUUCGGAAUAUAAUGCCGCUCUCAGGAGAGAGUAGGGUAUGUGGGAGGAGGCAUCUUCUCUUCUAUUGCAGAUAGGAUUGAUCCCGUGGGAAGGGAAUGGAGGGCAUGUAUUGUAUUGUAGGCUUCAGGCGUGAUGUUUUCACGUUCGUCCACGUCAGACUCCAAUCCGAAGGGCCCUAAUGCACACCUGCUAGAGUUUCCCGCUCUCCUGACAGACGUGAGUGAGUCAGACAGAGGCUGAACAAAGGAGCUCCACCAAAGGGCUGUAAUUACAAGAAACCCUGAGCAGAAAACAGCCCCAUUUAGGAACACAUUUGCAUUGUGGGAACAAGAGAGACAAUCUAUCCACUUAGAGGCCAGAUCAGCACGGCGGGGCCAUCAUUAAAGAGAACAUCUGACACCCUGGAACAGUAGGGAGAUAUUUGUAACAUGCCCUGAUGUUUGAUGGCGCUCCCCUGUUGGGCCCCUGUGAACAGUACAAACCCACCUACCAGGUGAAUGACCCAUAGAGCCACUUUGUCCUCAGCACAAAGGACCUAGGCCUAGAUGCUAAGCUGAUGUGACAGAGCUGAAACAAGUCAUUUAUCUAUUUUGAAUCAGUGCAUUUCUUAUUCAUACACCCAAUUAUUCAAAGAGACGCAGCGGCUGAUGUCGAGACGCAGAGACGUGAUCAGAUAGUUUUGUUCCUCUCUCAAGGUCAAAGCAGCAAGUGAUGGAUGCUAUUGGCUCUGUGCCUAUAGACAUUGCUCUGGGAGAAUGAGUGGCUACAUGAUGUGGUAACUGUAUAGUACAGGGGUUGAUAUCACUGUUGUAUUAAUGCAUCACCACAGGUGCGUUAUAGAAAGACGUUCAUAAACAAAUUAUCAUCAAACGCUUAAAGGAUUUACUAACUUGGGCCUGGUACAAGGCGGCCAUUUUAAUGUUCUCUUUGAGCAGGUGGUCACAUAUAAAGUGUAAAACACCUUGGAGCAUUGUGACAUCACUGUCAAAUGCAUUAUGCUUGGAGAGAGAAUGUUCUCAGGCCUACUGUGAGUUGGGGACCACCCAUGGAGACAGUGAUGCUUCUCAGGAUCAUUCCAGAAUAUUAAAGGGUUAUUCUAUGUUUUCUUGUAUAAACAAGUCUUGUAUAGAGGCUGAACACUCUUGUGUGGCAGGUGACCCACUUGAACAUGGGGUAGCAUUCUGUUCUGGCUGGAUGGCAGCUAAUUUGCCUCUGACCUUUUCCCUUUUCCAUGGGCUGUCAUCGCCAUAGCGAUCAUAUCUCAAUUUCAACAAUAAGUCAAUACCUGCCCUUUCAAUUGCCUUUAUUAUGAACCAACUUCAAGCCAAAGCUAAAUAAUACAUUACAGAGAGCAUGUUUAAUGAUGCAUGCCGAUCAAAUCCAGAAAUGCCCUUUUAACACAAAGCAUCAACUUUGUUAUAAUGAAAGCACUUCCUCUCACAGUCAUGCACCAGCACGCCCACUACAGUCUGUUCCACUGCUGAGGCAACACGUCAAAUGUACCUAGUCUGUGAGAUACAAGGGAGAUACAAGGCCAGCUAAAAUAUCAGGACACCAAAGCCUGGAAAUCUCUCAAAUCAACAUGCUAAACAAAGAUGGAGGAUAAUGGAUUCAGGAUAGCAGACAGAUUAAAACAAGACCAGCUGCUUUUCGCUUUCAGUCGUUUUCCUCUAAGCACCUGAGGAAUCACAGAGAGUCUGAGUUUCUACUUCCCCACUUCCAUCUCAAACGCUCAUCCCUCCUGAUGUGUGUAAGAGUGUGUAAGAGCCCUACCCAAAUACAGGACGGCCAGAUGGCUUAGCAGGGCCCACAUCAUACCCCGUGCCUGGCUGGUGGCGCCCCAGACCAGACCAACUCCUCCUCACAACCCAGCCCAACUCUAACUGGGUCAGCUCCCUCCCUCCAUGCCCAAACCCCUACUCUGCCCUCUCCCAGGCGCAACACUGGCCAUGCUGUUUAUCUCUUCGUCUUUCUCUCUCCCAGUAUAUUGGCUGAGAAAGAUAGAUAUGGAGAUGCUGUAUAAUUAUUACUACUAGAAACAUGUUCUUUAAGCUACCAUCAAGGUUUAGGUUUGGAAAGGGUGCUGCUUUCAUUCUGGGCCUGUUCUGCAGGUUUUCACAUUUUUGCCAGGACUCUCAGCGGGCAGUGUUUUGGACCAGGACUCUCAGCGGGCAGUGUUUUGGACCAGGACUCUCAGCGGGCAGUGUUUUGGACCAGGACUCUCAGCGGGCAGUGUUUUGGACCAGGACUCUCAGCGGGCAGUGUUUUGGACCGUGCUGUUUGAGGAAUUUACAAGGCUGUCAAAUCAGCCGGGCUCUACAUCCAUUGGAGAUGAGAGGGAAAGCUGAAGCCAGGGAAGCCAGAGCGACGAGUAUUGCCGUCAAUUUCAUCAGAGAGGAAUCAAAAAGUUGACUUUCAUGUGAAGGACAUGCAAAAGAAUGGGAGGAAUAUCCAAUGACAGUGCACCUUAUGUGUAGAAUCCAUGAGUUAACUAGCCAGUUAAUGUUUAAUUAUGUCCAUUUAGCAAAGAGUUAAAUGUCAACUGCUAAUUGUCACAAACUAUUCAGCAGACUCUCCAUGUCAUUGAAGUCAAUCUAAUUGAAAUCACUGAAUACAUUGAAAGAUGCACUGUGGGGCAUUGAGUCAAGUGAUCUUACUUCGGACCAUAUACCAAAUGUAUUUUUCUUUGUGACUUGAUGGGAGAAAGUCAUUUUGCUGCAGGCAGAGGCUUUUAAGGUUAACUUAAUAAACUCUUGUAAAGGAAGAAAGAGAGACACUCUAACUGAAGGACUACUGUCAUCCAUCCCCAUUGCAGAUUAAAAACCUGCUUCCGAUUUAAUUCCCAAAAAGAGUGGCUUAAAACCACUCACUCAGUAUUUGAGCUGCAUGUAGAGGGAAGCCAUUUUAGAACGACAUCCAAACGCUGGAUUGCAAAAUGU
Molecule: long non-coding RNA, 3679 nt
Organism: Oncorhynchus tshawytscha (Chinook salmon)
Lineage: Eukaryota; Metazoa; Chordata; Actinopteri; Salmoniformes; Salmonidae
Exons: 3
Source: RefSeq, a predicted model, not a curated record